GCCUUUUGCAGCUGAAACUUCACCACUUAGUUAAGCCCUCCCCUGCCAUCUGCUCGGCUCCAAAACUGCUGCAAAGGUUGAGAGGAACUGCUAAAAUUACAAAAAACCAUAUCUAUGAUAGAAAUUCCAUGGCAUGAAAUCUUCUCAUUUUUACAUCUUAUUGAACACUGGCUUCAGAGGACCAUACUCUUAAGAUCACCAAGGAUACUGUCUUCAAAGGCAGUCCUUUCAUCAACAGACGAUUGUUCACAAAAAUUCAUCUGAACCAACCUCAUAGUCCAUGCUUGCUCAUCUCAUCCCCAGCUCUGGGGCCAAUCAAGCCUGAGAGAAUUCAAGGAGACCUCAGUCAGUUUUGACAGCUUACUGUUAUCUUAGUCUGUUGGUACAUAUGAAAGUAACUUACACAGUGCUGGGCACACAGUAGGCAUUGUUCCUCAGGUCUAAUCGGUAGAUCUGCCCACGUUUAUGAGCAAAUUCAUUGUCUUGUGCCCUUGUUCAAGAAUCCACAUCAUUAUCUUUUCUCUAUGUCUCCAGUCUAUAAUUUGUCAGGAACUGAAGUUUCUUUUUUUUUCUUUUUGAGAUGGAGCCUCACUCUGUCACCCAGGCUGGAGUGCAGUAGUGGGAUCUUGGCUCACUGCAACCUCCGCCUCCCGGGUUCAAGUGAUUCUCCUGCCUCAGCCUCCCAAGUAGCUGGGAUUACAGGAACGUGUCACCACACCUGGCUAAUUUUUGUAUUUUCAGUAGAGACAGUUUUACCAUGUUGGCUAGGCUGGUCUUGAAUUCUCGACCUCAGGUAAUCCACCCACCUCAGCCUCCCAAAGUGCUGGGAUUACAGGCGUGAGCCACUGCGCCCGGCCAAGAACUGAAGUUUCUUUUAUGAUCAGUUCAGUCCAUCUAAAGUCCUGGCGAGGUCUUUCAUACUUGCUUCCAUGUCUCUCUAACGUUUACUCAUUCAAUAUAAGUGUUUAUUAGAUAAUUUUUGCCAGUGUCAAUGCUUGCCAUGGAGAUCCAAAGCGUCGUAGGUCAUGUUGCCUAGAAACAGAGAUUGAGAUAGGAAUUCUUAGGCAAGUAAUUUAGUGAGGGAAUGCUGCAAAGGUAGGAGGGAUACAGUAUAAGGUAGGGGAAGAAGCAAGGCAAUGAUGUGAUUUGAUGGGGCACUAUGGAGAGUGAAUUAUACCCAUACAGGUUAUUCUCCCCAUCAGCAAAGGUGCUGGGCUGUGAUAUCCCUGCCACCACCAGUGAUUGGCUAUGGACCACCCUGAGAGCAGGGAUGAGUGAAAGUCCAUGCAGACUCUCCAGCUUCUCCAGGCCAAGUGUAUGAGCAUGUGUACUGGUGAACACAGCUGUGUGAUGACUUUUGUGUGCUCUGGGCACUUUUGCCUUCUAAGGGCUCCUUCCUUCAUUAAACAAUAUAUUAAAAAUUAGGGUGGUGGGGCCAGGCACGGUGGCUCAUACCAGUAAUCCCAGCACUUUGGGAGGCCGAGGUGGGUGGAGCAUGAGGUCAGGAGAUGGAGAUCAUCCUGGCUAACAUGAUGAAACCCUGUCUCUACUAAAAAAGUACAAAAAACUUAGCCAGGCGUGGUGGCGAACACCUGUAGUCCCAGCUACUCGGGAAGCUGAGGCAAGAGAAUGGCGUGAACGUGGAAGGAGGAGCUUGCAGUGACCCCAGACAGCAUCACUGCACUCCAGCCUGGGCUACAGAGCGAGACUCCGUCACACACACACAAAAAAAAUUAGGGUGGUGGGCUGGGCAUGGUGGCUCACACCUGUAAUUCCAGCGCUUUGGAGGCCGAGGUGAGCACAUCACCUGAGGUCAGGAGUUCGAGAUCAGCCUGGCCAACAUGGUGAAUCCCCAUCUGUACUAAAAAUACAAAAUUAGCCAGGAGUGGUGGUGCGAGCCUGUAAUCCCAGCUACUUGGGAGGCUGAGACAGGAGAAUUGCUUAACCCAGGAGGCAGAGGUUGCAGUGAACCGAGAUAGCACUACUGCACUCCAGCCUGGGCAAUAAGAGUGAAACUCCAUCUCAAAAAAAAAAAAAAAAAAUUCGGGUGGUGAUGACCCCAACAUUCCAUCUGAAUGCCUGUGCUGAAACCCAGAGGCUGUUUCUGAACCACUGCAUAAAAAAGCAUUAAAAUUAAAUUUUAUGACUGCAUUGAUAUACAUAUGAAUAUAAUCCAGGUUGGAAUAUAUUUGUUUAUUUAUUUUUAGAUUUUGAAAGAGAUUAAAACAUUUUCAUGGGUUUCUAAAAGUAUCAUGGGAACUUGGCAUUGUGCCUACUGUGUGUAAUGGAUAAACUGACCCUGUUAGUGAAGUUGGAAUCCUGUGGAGAGCCAGCCCUGUGUGGUUCAGGGAUGCUGGGGUGCCAAGUGUGUAGCUGGUUCUGUGUCUGGUCUUUGCUUCCAUUUCCUACCUGCCUGGAUUCCAACUAAACCUAUUACCUUCUUUUUCUAAAGUCCCUGCUCUACUGAGACUGUACUGGGUUGAACAACAGUGUCCCCCCAAAAUUUAUGUCCUCCUGGAACCUCAGGAUGUGUCUUAUUUAGAAAUAUAAUCCUUGUAGAUAUAAUUAGUUAAAUUUAGGUGAAUGUCCUGAAUUAGGGCCCUAAAUUAAAUGACUGGUGUCCUUGGAAGUGGGGAGAACACAGAGGGAGGGCAACGUCACAGCCAUUGACUAUGGAGGCAGAGAUUGGGGUGAUACAGCCAGAAGCCAAGGAAAGCCAAGUUUCCCAGCAAUUACCAGAAGCUAGAAGAGAGGCAUGGAACAGUUUCUUCUUUAGAGCCUUCAGAGGGAGCAUGCGCCUGCUGACACCUUGAUGCUGAAUUUCUAGCCUCCAGAAUGAUGAGAGAAUACUUUUU
RNAcentral lists this long non-coding RNA (2855 nucleotides) under Homo sapiens (human). Its description in RNAcentral is "HSALNT0150926". The stretch from base 2045 to 2112 matches the Rfam family "Small nucleolar RNA SNORD95". The record is from RNAcentral. Lineage: Eukaryota; Metazoa; Chordata; Mammalia; Primates; Hominidae.